CCUACGGGAGGCAGCAGUGGGGAAUAUUGCACAAUGGGGGAAACCCUGAUGCAGCGACGCCGCGUGAGUGAAGAAGUAUUUCGGUACGUAAAGCUCUAUCAGCAGGGAAGAAAAUGACGGUACCUGACUAAGAAGCCCCGGCUAACUACGUGCCAGCAGCCGCGGUAAUACGUCGGGGGCAAGCGUUAUCCGGAUUUACUGGGUGUAAAGGGAGCGUAGACGGCAGCGCAAGUCUGGAGUGAAAUCCCAUGGCUUAACCAUGGAACUGCUUUGGAAACUGUGCAGCUAGAGUGCAGGAGAGGUAAGCGGAAUGCCUAGUGUAGCGGUGAAAUGCGUAGAUAUUAGGAGGAACACCAGUGGCGAAGGCGGCUUACUGGACUGUAACUGACGUUGAGGCUCGAAAGCGUGGGGAGCAAACAGGAUUAGAUACCCCAGUAGUC
This 440-nucleotide ribosomal RNA is filed under the name uncultured bacterium. Its description in RNAcentral is "partial 16S ribosomal RNA". It matches the Rfam family "Bacterial small subunit ribosomal RNA", at positions 338 to 795 of the family's 1533-position model. The record is from RNAcentral.